GGACACAGAGACAUACAUAGAGGGAAGACGAUAUGAAGAGAUGGAGAAGAUGCCGCUCUACAAGGCAAGGAGGGAGGGCUGGAGCAGUCUCUCUCUCUCGCAGCCCUCAGAAGGAACUAACCCUGCUGACAUCUUGGUUUCAGACUCCUAGUCUCCAGAACUGGUCUAGGGAGUGGAGAAAGAAACAGACAAGUAACAGCGCAGAAGAACGGCUAGGAUGGGCAAUACCACAAACCUCAUCUUUGGAAAAUACAAUCUGCCACCUUCUCAAGUCCCCUUUUCCUUGACGACUAUGAGGCUCCUCCACUUCUUCUUCCAGUCUCUUCUC
Molecule: long non-coding RNA, 328 nt
Filed under: Equus caballus (horse)
Lineage: Eukaryota; Metazoa; Chordata; Mammalia; Perissodactyla; Equidae
Description: lncRNA (ENSECAG00000052534.1)
Source: RNAcentral